GAAAUGCGAUACUUGGUGUGAAUUGCAGAAUCCCGUGAACCAUCGAGUCUUUGAACGCAAGUUGCGCCCGAAGCCAUUAGGCCGAGGGCACGCCUGCCUGGGUGUCACACAUCGUUUCGGAAACGAU
This 127-nucleotide unclassified non-coding RNA is filed under the name uncultured fungus. RNAcentral describes it as "sequence contains ITS1". The stretch from base 1 to 107 matches the Rfam family "5.8S ribosomal RNA", at positions 50 to 154 of the family's 154-position model. From Rfam's summary of the family: 5.8S ribosomal RNA (5.8S rRNA) is a component of the large subunit of the eukaryotic ribosome. Lineage: Eukaryota; Fungi. The record is from RNAcentral.